AUUGAACGCUGGCGGCAGGCCUAACACAUGCAAGUCGAGCGGAUGAAGGGAGCUUGCUCCUGGAUUCAGCGGCGGACGGGUGAGUAAUGCCUAGGAAUCUGCCUGGUAGUGGGGGAUAACGUCCGGAAACGGGCGCUAAUACCACAUACGUCCUGAGGGAGAAAGUGGGGGAUCUUCGGACCUCACGCUAUCAGAUGAGCCUAGGUCGGAUUAGCUAGUUGGUGGGGUAAAGGCCUACCAAGGCGACGAUCCGUAACUGGUCUGAGAGAUGAUCAGUCACACUGGAACUGAGACACGGUCCAGACUCCUACGGGAGGCAGCAGUGGGGAAUAUUGGACAAUGGGCGAAAGCCUGAUCCAGCCAUGCCGCGUGUGUGAAGAAGGUCUUCGGAUUGUAAAGCACUUUAAGUUGGGAGGAAGGGCAGUAAGUUAAUACCUUGCUGUUUUGACGUUACCAACAGAAUAAGCACCGGCUAACUUCGUG
This 483-nucleotide ribosomal RNA is filed under the name uncultured bacterium. RNAcentral describes it as "partial 16S ribosomal RNA". It matches the Rfam family "Bacterial small subunit ribosomal RNA", at positions 30 to 507 of the family's 1533-position model. The record is from RNAcentral.